RNAcentral lists this ribosomal RNA (460 nucleotides) under Actinomyces sp. oral taxon B78. Its description in RNAcentral is "bacterial SSU rRNA". It matches the Rfam family "Bacterial small subunit ribosomal RNA", at positions 28 to 471 of the family's 1533-position model. Lineage: Bacteria; Bacillati; Actinomycetota; Actinomycetes; Actinomycetales; Actinomycetaceae. The record is from RNAcentral.
GACGAACGCUGGCGGCGUGCUUAACACAUGCAAGUCGAACGGUGAAGGGAUCAGCUUGCUGGUUCUGGAUGAGUGGCGAACGGGUGAGUAACACGUGAGUAACCUGCCCCCUUCUUCUGGAUAACCGCAUGAAAGUGUGGCUAAUACGGGAUAUUCUGGGUCUGUCGCAUGGCGGGCCUGGGAAAGAUGCGCCUUUGGGUGUUUUUGGUGGGGGAUGGGCUCGCGGCCUAUCAGCUUGUUGGUGGGGUGAUGGCCUACCAAGGCGGUGACGGGUAGCCGGCCUGAGAGGGUGGACGGUCACACUGGGACUGAGACACGGCCCAGACUCCUACGGGAGGCAGCAGUGGGGAAUAUUGCACAAUGGGCGCAAGCCUGAUGCAGCGACGCCGCGUGAGGGAUGGAGGCCUUCGGGUUGUAAACCUCUUUCGCCAGUGAAGCAGGCCUGCUCCUUGUGGGUGGG